Molecule: ribosomal RNA, 484 nt
Filed under: uncultured bacterium
Lineage: Bacteria
Description: partial 16S ribosomal RNA
Rfam family: Bacterial small subunit ribosomal RNA
Source: RNAcentral
AUUGAACGCUGGCGGCAGGCCUAACACAUGCAAGUCGAGCGGAUGAAGGGAGCUUGCUCCUGGAUUCAGCGGCGGACGGGUGAGUAAUGCCUAGGAAUCUGCCUGGUAGUGGGGGAUAACGUCCGGUAACGGGCGCUAAUACCGCAUACGUCCUGAGGGAGAAAGUGGGGGAUCUUCGGACCUCACGCUAUCAGAUGAGCCUAGGUCGGAUUAGCUAGUUGGUGGGGUAAAGGCCUACCAAGGCGACGAUCCGUAACUGGUCUGAGAGGAUGAUCAGUCACACUGGAACUGAGACACGGUCCAGACUCCUACGGGAGGCAGCAGUGGGGAAUAUUGGACAAUGGGCGAAAGCCUGAUCCAGCCAUGCCGCGUGUGUGAAGAAGGUCUUCGGAUUGUAAAGCACUUUAAGUUGGGAGGAAGGGAAGUAAGUUAAUACCUUGAUGUUUUGACGUUACCAACAGAGUAAGCACCGGCUAACUUCGUG